Molecule: ribosomal RNA, 497 nt
Filed under: uncultured bacterium
Lineage: Bacteria
Description: partial 16S ribosomal RNA
Rfam family: Bacterial small subunit ribosomal RNA
Source: RNAcentral
GAUGAACGCUGGCGGCGUGCCUAAUACAUGCAAGUCGAGCGAACGGACGAGAAGCUUGCUUUUCUGAUGUUAGCGGCGGACGGGUGAGUAACACGUGGAUAACCUUCCUAUAAGACUGGGAUAACUUCGGGAAACCGGAGCUAAUACCGAAUAAUAUUUUGAACCGCAUGGUUCAAAAGUGAAAGCCGUUCUUGCUGUCACUUAUAGAUGAAUCCGCGCUGCAUUAGCUAGUUGGUAAGGUAACGGCUUACCAAGGCAACGAUGCAUAGCCGACCUGAGAGGGUGAUCGGCCACACUGGAACUGAGACACGGUCCAGACUCCUACGGGAGGCAGCAGUAGGGAAUCUUCCGCAAUGGGCGAAAGCCUGACGGAGCAACGCCGCGUGAGUGAUGAAGGUCUUCGGAUCGUAAAACUCUGUUAUUAGGGAAGAACAUAUGUGUAAGUAACUGUGCACAUCUUGACGGUACCUAAUCAGAAAGCCACGGCUAACUACGUG